RNAcentral lists this ribosomal RNA (434 nucleotides) under uncultured bacterium. RNAcentral's name for it is "partial 16S ribosomal RNA". It matches the Rfam family "Bacterial small subunit ribosomal RNA", at positions 29 to 507 of the family's 1533-position model. The record is from RNAcentral.
AGCGAACGCUGGCGGCAGGCCUAACACAUGCAAGUCGAACGAACCUUUCGGGGUUAGUGGCGGACGGGUGAGUAACACGUGGGAACGUGCCUUUAGGUUCGGAAUAACUCAGGGAAACUUGUGCUAAUACCGAAUGUGCCCUUCGGGGGAAAGAUUUAUCGCCUUUAGAGCGGCCCGCGUCUGAUUAGCUAGUUGGUUGAGGUAAUGGCUCACCAAGGCGACGAUCAGUAGCUGGUCUGAGAGGAUGAUCAGCCACAUUGGGACUGAGACACGGCCCAAACUCCUACGGGAGGCAGCAGUGGGGAAUCUUGCGCAAUGGGCGAAAGCCUGACGCAGCCAUGCCGCGUGAAUGAUGAAGGUCUUAGGAUUGUAAAGUUCUUUCACCGGGGACGAUAAUGACGGUACCCGGAGAAGAAGCCCCGGCUAACUUCGUG